GUAUCAGUGGUUUAGUGGUAAAAUCUCCGCUUGCCAUGCGGGGGCCCCGGGUUCGAUUCCCGGCUGAUGCA
This is a non-coding RNA of Ochromonadaceae sp. CCMP2298, 71 nucleotides long. NCBI's taxonomy places the organism in Eukaryota, Synurophyceae, Ochromonadales, Ochromonadaceae. The record is from the annotation of a GenBank genome assembly.